RNAcentral lists this ribosomal RNA (850 nucleotides) under uncultured archaeon. RNAcentral describes it as "bacterial SSU rRNA". It matches the Rfam family "Archaeal small subunit ribosomal RNA", at positions 18 to 873 of the family's 1478-position model. The record is from RNAcentral.
CGGAGGCUACCGCUAUUGGAGUUCGAUUAAGCCAUGCGAGUCGAGAGUCCUCGGGACUCGGCGUACCGCUCAGUAACACGUGGGUAACCUGCCCUAUGCUGGGGAAUAACCUCGGGAAACUGAGAAUAAUGCCCCAUAGCCCACUACGCCUGGAACGGUGAGUGGGUCAAAGCCCCGGCGGCAUAGGAUGGGCCUGCGCCGUAUCAGGUUGUAGGGGGUGUAAAGUACCCUCUAGCCAUCAACGCGUACGGGUGUUGGGAGACAUUGCCCGGAGAUGGAUUCUGAGACACGAAUCCAGACCCUACGGGGUGCAGCAGGCGCGAAAACUUGGCAAUGCGAGCAAUCGUGACCAGGGAACUCCAAGUGCGUAGGGUAAGACCUACGCUUUUCUUGACUCUUCAAAGGUCUUGGAAUAAGGGGUGGGUAAGGACGGUGCCAGCCGCCGCGGUAAUACCGGCGCCUCAAGUGGUAGUCGCUUUUAUUGGGCCUAAAACGUCCGUAGCCGGUCUGGUGCAUUCGUGGGUAAAUCAACCCGCUCAACGGGUUGAAUUCUGCGAGCACGGCCAGACUUGGGACCGGGAGAGGUGUGGGGUACUCUCAGGGUAGGGGUAAAAUCCUGUCAUCCUGAGAGGACCACCUGUUGCGAAGGCGCCACACUAGAACGGAUCCGACGGUCAGGGACAAAACCUAGGGGCACGAACCGGAUUAGAUACCCGGGUAGUCCUAGGUGUAAACGCUGUGGACUUGAUGUUGGGGGCGCUUCGAGCGCUCUCAGUGUCGAAGCGAAGGUGAUAAGUCCACUGCCUGGGGAGUACGGUCGCAAGGCUGAAACUUAAAGGAAUUGGCGGGG